This 581-nucleotide ribosomal RNA is filed under the name uncultured bacterium. RNAcentral describes it as "bacterial SSU rRNA". It matches the Rfam family "Bacterial small subunit ribosomal RNA", at positions 335 to 930 of the family's 1533-position model. The record is from RNAcentral.
ACUCCUACGGGAGGCAGCAGUGGGGAAUUUUCCGCAAUGGGCGCAAGCCUGACGGAGCAAGACCGCGUGAGGGAGGAAGGCUCUUGGGUUGUAAACCUCUUUUAUCAGGGAAGAAGAUCUGACGGUACCUGAUGAAUCAGCAUCGGCUAACUCCGUGCCAGCAGCCGCGGUAAUACGGAGGAUGCAAGCGUUAUCCGGAUUUAUUGGGCGUAAAGCGUCCGCAGGUGGUUUUUCAAGUCUGCUGUUAAAGCGCAGAGCUUAACUCUGUAACGGCGGUGGAAACUGAGAGACUAGAGUAUGGUAGGGGUUGCGGGAAUUCCCAGUGUAGCGGUGAAAUGCGUAGAUAUUGGGAAGAACACCAGCGGCGAAAGCGCGCAACUGGGCCAUUACUGACACUCAUGGACGAAAGCUGGGGGAGCGAAAGGGAUUAGAUACCCCUGUAGUCCUAGCUGUAAACGAUGGGUACUAGGUGUUGACCGUAUCGACCCGGUCAGUGCCGUAGCUAACGCGUUAAGUACCCCGCCUGGGGAGUAUGCACGCAAGUGUGAAACUCAAAGGAAUUGACGGGGGCCCGCACAAGC